UCCUACGGGAGGCUGCAGUGGGGAAUAUUGGACAAUGGGGGCAACCCUGAUCCAGCCAUGCCGCGUGAGUGAUGAAGGCCCUAGGGUUGUAAAGCUCUUUUGUGCGGGAAGAUAAUGACGGUACCGCAAGAAUAAGCCCCGGCUAACUUCGUGCCAGCAGCCGCGGUAAUACGAAGGGGGCUAGCGUUGCUCGGAAUCACUGGGCGUAAAGGGUGCGUAGGCGGAUCUUUAAGUCAGAGGUGAAAGCCUGGAGCUAAACGCCAGAACUGCCUUUGAUACUGAGGAUCUCGAGUGCGGGAGAGGUGAGUGGAACUGCGAGUGUAGAGGUGAAAUUCGUAGAUAUUCGCAAGAACACCAGUGGCGAAGGCGGCUCACUGGCCCGAUACUGACGCUGAGGCACGAAAGCGUGGGGAGCAAACAGGAUUAGAUACCCCGGUAGUCU
Molecule: ribosomal RNA, 442 nt
Filed under: uncultured Bradyrhizobiaceae bacterium
Lineage: Bacteria; Pseudomonadati; Pseudomonadota; Alphaproteobacteria; Hyphomicrobiales; Nitrobacteraceae
Description: bacterial SSU rRNA
Rfam family: Bacterial small subunit ribosomal RNA
Source: RNAcentral